Numida meleagris (helmeted guineafowl) is the source of this 2376-nucleotide long non-coding RNA. The record is from Ensembl. Lineage: Eukaryota; Metazoa; Chordata; Aves; Galliformes; Numididae.
CGGGCGGGCACGGAACCGAGCUGGAGCGCGGGCCGAGCUGCACCGAGCCCGGCUCCGUGGCGGCGGGGAGCCCAGGAGCCGCGGGUCUUCUCGGACGGGGUGAGAAGGGAGGAAAACUUGGUUAGCGAGUUCUGGACCCGUUCGCUGGCGGGGAACUGGGGCCCCGUGGCUGCUGUGGGGCUGCGAGGUGCCGGAGCCGGAGCCCUGGGGCGAUGCUCCGUGUUCCCACUGCUGGGCAGGGACCAGCGCCUGGUGCUGUGCUCGUGCAGCAUCGCUGCGCCUGGAUGGAGCGGGGGGGGGGGCUCCUCGUGGCCAUGGGGCUCUUCGCGGGUCUGGGGCCUCCUCAUGGGUCUGGGGCCUCCUCGUGGCCAUGGGGCUCCUCAUGGCCAUGGGGCUCCUCGUGGGCCAUGGGGGCUCCUCGUGGGCCAUGGGGCUCCUCAUGGGUCUGGGGGCUCCUCGAGGCACAGGGCCCCCUCGUGGCCAUGGGGCUCCUCGUGGCCAUGGGGCUCCUCAUGGGUCUGGAGGCUCCUCGUGGCCAUGGGGCUCCUCGUGGGCCAUGGGGCUCCUCGUGGCCAUGGGGCUCCUCGUGGCCAUGGGGCUCCUCGUGGGUCUGGGGGCUCCUCAUGGGUCUGGGGGCUCCUCGAGGCACAGGGCCCCCCCAUGUCAGCACCCAGGGCCCUGUGUCCUGGAGGAAGCAGUCAGAGCGUGGCUGGUGCUGCCGGCUCCUGUUGCUCAUCUUCCCCCGUUGAAGCUCGGCCGCGUGCUCGGCGCUGGCUGUGUGUCUGUCUCGUUCCUGGACAGACUCGCUCCUCCGGUACAAUGUCAAAUUUUUUUUUUUUUUUUUUUCGGCCGCGCUCGCUUGUUCCAGCUUUUAAAAUAGGUGUGUUGGUUUUUUUUUUUUCUUUCUUUUUUCUUUUCCCUAACACGACGUGCGUACGCGUGGGUGCUGCAUCGAACGCCGAUGGAAAAAACGGGGCCGCUGCUUUGUUUGUGUGCGGAUGGCAAACCUGUAUUUCAGCACGGAGCAGCGAAACCGCCCCGAGCGCCGAGCGGAGCCCGCGGCCGCCGGCCCCGACCGCGCCGGUUUCAGCCUCCGUGCCCGCACCGCCCCGCUCCCCCCUUCCCUGCACCCGCAGCCUUCGUCCCCUCCUCCUCCUCCUCCUCCUCCUGCAGCCCUGGGGCUGCUCUGACCCCGCUGUUGCAGGCGGGCGCGGAGCUGCUCACCUACGGAGCUGCUGCGCUGGGAGGUGAUGGCAGCCUGCGUGCAGCCCGAGGCGGGACGUGUUUCAGAGCUCCUUCGUUCCCCCCCGGGGGAUUUUGCCACCGUUCAGGUUUUUUGAUGAUGAUGAUGAUGAUGAUGAUGAUGAUUUUUGAAGCUGCGGAGCUGCCUGAGCGCACAGUGCUGCUGCUGCUCCCCCGGCAGCGCCUUCAGCGGGGGCUGAGAUCCAGAGAGGGGGAACCAGCUCCCAUCCCCAGCUCCCAUCCCCAGAUCUCAGCUCCCAUCCCCAGUUUCUCAAUCCCUGCUCCCUGGUCCCAGCUCCUGAUCCCAGCUCCCAGCUCCCUCAUCGCAGCUCCCAUCCCCAGCUUCCCAAUCCCAGCUCCUCAUCCCAGCUCUCAGCUCCCUGAUUGCAGCUUUCCAAUCCCAGCUNNNNNNNNNNNNNNNNNNNUUCCAGCUCCCGUUCCCAGCUUCUCAAUCCCAGCUCCCUGCUCUCAUCUCCCCAUCCUUGCUCCUGUUCCCAGCUUCCUGAUCCUACCUCUCAGUUCCCCAUUCCCAGCUCCCAAUCCCAGCUCUCAGCUCCCUGACUCCAGCUCCCAUUCCCAGCUCCUCAAUCCCAGCUCCCGCUCCCAUCUCCCCCACCCCGUGAUGACUCGGGGAACCUGAAUCCCCGCCGCGUUCUCGGGCGCUGUUUGAUUUCCCGUGGUGCGAGGCUCGGCAGCGGGCACGGCUGCGGGUGGCGGUGGCUGCCAUCCCUCCGUGCACGACGGUUUGAUGGCAUGAUGUGCGUGGUGGGUGGAGGAGGGCGCUGGGGGCUCCUGGUGCCGUUUCUCGUGGUCAGGGCGAGAGCUGCAUUCAUCCAAAAGCAUCGGGAGUUUUGUUUCGUGGCCCUGAGGUUGGUUCCUCGGCGCGGCGCUGAACCCCCGGGACGGCUGCGCUCUGCGUGGGGGAUUACGGGGAUUUGCGGCUGGGCCGGAACAACGCUUUCCUGGCAGAAGUUUGGCUCCGUGGGGCUUUAUCUCGUGGCUCUGAGCUGUGCAGGGCUCACCCUGGGAGGGAGAGUGUGGGAAGGGAGGAGCCCGAGGGGCCUGGGCCUCGUCCUCCUGCCCAGAGCGUGUGGGCAUCCCUCAGUGCAAGUGGGGUCAGGGAAUUGGAGAGCC